AAUGUUUGCCAUACCACUCUGAACCCGCCCGGUCUGAUCUCAGAAGCUAAACAGGGUUGGGCUUCGUUAAUACUUGGAUUAGUACCAGGCACUA
RNAcentral lists this ribosomal RNA (94 nucleotides) under Amphilophus citrinellus (Midas cichlid). The record is from RNAcentral. Lineage: Eukaryota; Metazoa; Chordata; Actinopteri; Cichliformes; Cichlidae.